UAAUCUCCUGAGUCAUUGGCUGUGUUGCAACAUCAUGAGGUUUUGUGGUGUAACCUCCUGAGUUCUGUGAUGUGAUAUCCUGAGUAGAUGGCUGUGAUGUGACAUUCCGAGUUUUGGUUUGGCUACGAGUUUGAGACCAGGAUAUGUGUUCAUGGCGUGUGUCCGUUUGCUUGGUUUGGGGAUCGGGGUGUGUGGCAGCUGGUGAUGUAGCCGCGGUCUGGUUUCUGGAAGGUUACAUCACAGCCAUUC
Notechis scutatus (mainland tiger snake) is the source of this 249-nucleotide non-coding RNA. NCBI's taxonomy places the organism in Eukaryota, Metazoa, Chordata, Lepidosauria, Squamata, Elapidae. The record is from RefSeq and is a predicted model, not a curated record.